ACGGGAGGCAGCAGUGGGGAAUAUUGGACAAUGGGCGAAAGCCUGAUCCAGCGACGCCGCGUGAGUGAAGAAGUAUUUCGGUAUGUAAGGCUCUAUCAGCAGGGAAGAUAAUGACGGUACCUGACUAAGAAGCACCGGCUAAAUACGUGCCAGCAGCCGCGGUAAUACGUAUGGUGCAAGCGUUAUCCGGAUUUACUGGGUGUAAAGGGAGCGCAGGCGGUACGGCAAGUCUGAUGUGAAAGCCCGGGGCUCAACCCCGGUACUGCAUUGGAAACUGUCGAACUAGAGUGUCGGAGGGGUAAGCGGAAUUCCUAGUGUAGCGGUGAAAUGCGUAGAUAUUAGGAGGAACACCAGUGGCGAAGGCGGCUUACUGGACGAUAACUGACGCUGAGGCUCGAAAGCGUGGGGAGCAAACAGGAUUAGAUACCCUGGUA
Molecule: ribosomal RNA, 434 nt
Filed under: uncultured Roseburia sp.
Lineage: Bacteria; Bacillati; Bacillota; Clostridia; Lachnospirales; Lachnospiraceae
Description: partial 16S ribosomal RNA
Rfam family: Bacterial small subunit ribosomal RNA
Source: RNAcentral